GAGGAAAAGAAACUAACAAGGAUUCCCCUAGUAACGGCGAGUGAAGCGGGAAGAGCUCAAAUUUGUAAUCUGGCACUUUCAGUGUCCGAGUUGUAAUCUCGAGAAGUAUUUUCCGCGCCGGACCGCAUACAAGUCUGUUGGAAUACAGCGUCAUAGUGGUGAGAACCCCGUAACUGAUGCGGAUGCCCGGUGCUUUGUGAUAUACUUUCGAAGAGUCGAGUUGUUUGGGAAUGCAGCUCAAAUUGGGUGGUAAAUUCCAUCUAAAGCUAAAUAUUGGAGCAAGACCGAUAGCGAACAAGUACCGUGAGGGAAAGAUGAAAAGCACUUUGGAAAGAGAGUUAACAGUACGUGAAAUUGUUGGAAGGGAAACGCUUGAAGUCAGACUUGCUAUUCGGAGUUCAGCCGCAAGGUGUAUUCUUCGAUUUGCAGGCCAGCAUCAGUUUUUGGGGGUGGAAAAUCGUGGUUUGAAGGUAGCAGUUUCGGCUGUGUUAUAGCUUUCCACUGGAUUCAUCUUCGGGGACUGAGGAACGCAGUACGCUUUUUGCAAGGCUUUCGAGCUUUUCGUACUUAGGAUGCUGGUGGAAUGGCUUUAAACGACCC
Molecule: ribosomal RNA, 600 nt
Filed under: Basidiomycota sp. 4 HFP-2013
Lineage: Eukaryota; Fungi; Basidiomycota
Description: eukaryotic LSU rRNA
Rfam family: Eukaryotic large subunit ribosomal RNA
Source: RNAcentral